GUACUUGCUUUUACUAAAUCAGUUAUGGUUCACUAGAUCGUAAAUUUUACACGGAUAACUGUGGUAAUUCUAGAGCUAAUACGUGCAACCAGCUCGCUUCCUUGUGGAGCGAGCGCAGUUAUUAGAACAAGACCAAUCCGGCCUUCGGGUCGGUACAAUUGGUGACUCUGAAUAACCGAAGCGGAGCGCAUGGUCUCGUACCGGCGCCAGAUCUUUCAAGUGUCUGACUUAUCAGCUUGUUGUUAGGUUAUGUUCCUAACAAGGCUUCAACGGGUAACGGGGUAUCAGGGUCCGAUACCGGAGAGGGAGCCUGAGAAACGGCUACCACAUCCAAGGAAGGCAGCAGGCGCGCAAAUUACCCACUCCUAGCACAGGGAGGUAGUGACGAAAAAUAACGAUGCGAGGGCUUAUAGCUUCUCGUAAUCGGAAUGGGUACACUUUAAAUCCUUUAACGAGGAUCUAUUGGAGGGCAAGUCUGGUGCCAGCAGCCGCGGUAAUUCCAGCUCCAAUAGCGUAUAUUAAAGUUGCUGCGGUUAAAAAGCUCGUAGUUGGAUCUGGGCUUCUGAAUGGAUGGUGCGCUUUACGGUGCUACUGUCCGUUUGGUGCCACAAGCCGGCCAUGUAGUGCAUGCUCUUCAUUGAGUGUGCAUUGCGACCGGAACGUUUACUUUGAAAAAAUUAGAGUGCUCAAAGCAGGCGUACGGCCUUGCAUAAUGGUGCAUGGAAUAAUGGAAUAGGACCUCGGUUCUAUUUUGUUGGUUUUCGGAACUCGAGGUAAUGAUUAAUAGGAACAGACGGGGGCAUUCGUAUUGCGGCGUUAGAGGUGAAAUUCUUGGAUCGUCGCAAG
RNAcentral lists this ribosomal RNA (846 nucleotides) under Macrobiotus gretae. Its description in RNAcentral is "SSU rRNA". It matches the Rfam family "Eukaryotic small subunit ribosomal RNA", at positions 90 to 934 of the family's 1831-position model. Lineage: Eukaryota; Metazoa; Tardigrada; Eutardigrada; Parachela; Macrobiotidae. The record is from RNAcentral.